This 541-nucleotide long non-coding RNA is filed under the name Equus asinus (donkey). Its description in RNAcentral is "lncRNA (ENSEASG00005030706.1)". Lineage: Eukaryota; Metazoa; Chordata; Mammalia; Perissodactyla; Equidae. The record is from RNAcentral.
CAGCAGUCUGUGCUUGUUUAUGGUGUGGUUACAGCUGUUGGUAGGUCAGUUGUAAAUAUCUGAUCUGGAUGCUCCUGGGAAAACCCUUUCCGUCCUCAUGAAAGAUUCAGGGGGCAGACUUACUUCACUCAGCAUAAUGCCCUCAAGGUUCAUCCACAUCGUCCCAAAUGAGUAUGCAGCCAGGAGCCGAAGGCCUGCUUUCAACAGCCAAAGGGUCCAAUGUACUCUGAAAAGUUUACCAACAUCGCCCCGUGGCUGCAGUGGUCUCCAGCCGUGCAGGGGAGUCGGCCAUCAGUGAGACCCCAACAAACGCACCCACCGUGAGAGGGAGGGAAACGGAGACAGCCUUCCAACAGCUCCACGGUAUUUCUGUAUCCAUCCUUGAUUCGCCAAUUCCACCACAAGAAAUCCAUCUUAAGGACAUGCUCAUUCACAAAGUUAAAUAUGUAUUCAUACAGAAACGUCCCUGCAGAAUCGCCUACUGUAGCAAACAGUUAGAGAACAUCAACGCCUCUCGAUAGAGGGCCAGUCGACCUUUAUG